AUCUUUUUAGUAUAUUUAAUAUAUUUGACUUCCAAUCAAAAGAUCUUUAAAAUAAGAAAAGAUA
RNAcentral lists this transfer RNA (64 nucleotides) under Scotinophara lurida. RNAcentral's name for it is "tRNA-Gly". The record is from RNAcentral. Lineage: Eukaryota; Metazoa; Arthropoda; Insecta; Hemiptera; Pentatomidae.